Molecule: long non-coding RNA, 1728 nt
Organism: Rhinopithecus roxellana (golden snub-nosed monkey)
Lineage: Eukaryota; Metazoa; Chordata; Mammalia; Primates; Cercopithecidae
Exons: 7
Source: RefSeq, a predicted model, not a curated record
CUCAACAACCCAGGUUUCCUUGCAUCUGAGCUGCUGAAGCGCUUCAAAAACAACAUCUCUUGUUUCCUAAAGAAGAAGAUGCCUGGACAAGCAGCACAAGUCAUUCAGGAGGAAGAGGGUAAUUCAGUUGAGUUUCCUGAGCUACCCGGCUGCUGUGAUUCAACAACCACCAGGAAAUUUUGAUGAUGGUGCUCUCCUGAGCUCCUCCCUGUCCCAGGGAAGACAAAAUCAUUGAAACUGUGCAAAUAAAGUGUUAGUUCGCUGGAAUGAGGUCUCAUGGCUGUUUAUGCGGUGGUUGGCUGCUCAGGACAGGGCCAGGCUGAUGAGGCUGCUUGUGACCCUGAUGUAGGCUCUAUAAAUCUUGAGUCAGGCUACGGGAUAAGAUUCGUAGCCGUGCCGGUAAAGGCGAGCCUCUAUACCUGAUGCCCACUGAGGGUCCCACGGGUCAGGAAUGGUAAGGAAGAAUGUAGGCACUUCUCCUCGUCCAUAUGAUCUGACUAACUGAACUGUUGAUGCCGGUUGCUGCCACUUGGUGUAUGACAUGUCAAGCAGGGGGAGCUGCUUCCUGUUGGCCGUCUUGGCCCGCCCCCCACCACGUGACCUAUAAAAUGCCUCUGCUCUCCAGGAAUGCUGUCAUUCUAUAAUUUUGCCUGAAACCAACAUCCUUACUGCACCUAUCAUGGGCUCAUUUAUUUCACAUAUAAAGAAGGUGGCCAAGGAAGUGAUAGUGGCUAAAGUGGUCGAGUUUCUGACGGAUGUGAUAGAAAAAUGGUGUGUCGACCAAUUAAUGACAUAUGCCCCACAACUAGCAACGGAAACCGUUAUCGGCAUGCUGAGGCUUCUAAUCAAAAAGAUGCUCACCUGUGUACUCAACGAGGCACUUUGCUUCUUUACAAGCUGCUGAAAUGCUACAAAAACAUCUCAUGUUUUUCCUGAAGAAGAGGAUGCGUAGACUAGCAACAGGAGGAAGAAAGUAAUCCGGAAAAGUUUCCUGACCUACCCCUGCUGCUGCGAUUUAACAACCACCAGGAAAUUUUGAUGACACUGCUCUCUGGAGCUCCUCCCUUUCCUCAGGGAGCAAAAGCAAUUAAACAACAAAAAUAAAGUGUUAUUUGGCUGAAGUGAGGUCUCCUGGCUGUUUAUGUGGUGGCUUGCUGCUCAGUACAGGCACGUGUUGGGGCUCCAAGUCCCUGAAGGUUUCUGGCCUGAAAUCCACCUCUCCAGCCAUGCCGACUCUGCUCUAGAGACUCCACACUCCGCAAGGUUCCCAGGGCCCUGAGGGACAACUGAGUGGUCUGUGCACUUCAGGGCUCCACACUCGGCAAGGAACUAACUGUUUGGACAAAUGGAGGCAAGAUGGCGCAGUUCCGGGUUCUUCACCAUCAACUUUCCCGCGCCUGGGAAAGACACCGGUCGACUGCGCAGGCACAACCCGACCUCUGACGGAGAGAAACCGGAACCCGCCUAGCCACGCCUAUUGACCCGCCCCCGACCCGCCUAUGUCCCGCCCACUGCCCUCCCACUCCUGGGCCCAGGACAUAAAAGCCGCUCCCGGCGGGCGCGCGGAGCGACCUUCCUCCGCCCCUCCUCGUGCGCGGGACCCGGGAACCUCGUCCGAGAACGCCGGAGCGAACUUCCUCGGCCCCUCCUCCUGCGCGGGACCCAGGAACCUCGCCCAAGAACGCCGGAGCAAACUUCCUUGGCCCCUGCUCCUGUACGGACCUAGGA